GACGAACGCUGGCGGCGCGCCUAACACAUGCAAGUCGAACGAGCGAGAGAGAGCUUGCUUUCUCGAGCGAGUGGCGAACGGGUGAGUAACGCGUGAGGAACCUGCCUCAAAGAGGGGGACAACAGUUGGAAACGACUGCUAAUACCGCAUAAGCCCACGGGUCGGCAUCGACCAGAGGGAAAAGGAGCAAUCCGCUUUGAGAUGGCCUCGCGUCCGAUUAGCUGGUUGGUGAGGUAACGGCCCACCAAGGCAACGAUCGGUAGCCGGACUGAGAGGUUGAACGGCCACAUUGGGACUGAGACACGGCCCAGACUCCUACGGGAGGCAGCAGUGGGGAAUAUUGCACAAUGGGGGAAACCCUGAUGCAGCGACGCCGCGUGGAGGAAGAAGGUCUUCGGAUUGUAAACUCCUGUUGUUGAGGAAGAUAAUGACGGUACUCAACAAGGAAG
Molecule: ribosomal RNA, 449 nt
Filed under: uncultured bacterium
Lineage: Bacteria
Description: bacterial SSU rRNA
Rfam family: Bacterial small subunit ribosomal RNA
Source: RNAcentral